RNAcentral lists this long non-coding RNA (308 nucleotides) under Elaeis guineensis (African oil palm). RNAcentral's name for it is "long non-coding RNA (EGUI_LNC034387)". The record is from RNAcentral. Lineage: Eukaryota; Viridiplantae; Streptophyta; Magnoliopsida; Arecales; Arecaceae.
UGAUAAAUCCACGAAAUUCCAUGUUUGAUUUUUAAGAAGUGCCAUCAUUUUCUCCUCCAUAGCCUCUUUCUAAUGGUUUGCAUCGGUAGCAUGAAUGGCUUCUUGAAAUGUACAUGGCUCUUCCUCCACAAUUAGUAUUCGAAGUGUAUUUGGGUCUACAAAAUCCUAUAGAUAUGUAGGUGUGUGCCGCUCUCUUAUUGAAUGCUAAGACAUAUCAUAUAGUUCUCUACCUUCGUGAGAACUCUCCUCUUCAUCGGAAUCUUGCUCAACUUGCUCUUCUACCUCACCAAACUCAAUCGGUGCAUUCU